Gossypium hirsutum (cotton) is the source of this 112-nucleotide non-coding RNA. The record is from Rfam. Lineage: Eukaryota; Viridiplantae; Streptophyta; Magnoliopsida; Malvales; Malvaceae.
AUCCUAUGGUGAGGGCAUUUCCUUAAUUGUUCUUUAAAUUUCUCCCAAGUCUUAUACAAAGAUUCAUCAUCCAUCUACAGAAAAAUAGUGAUCUCAUUCCGCAACUAAGCAU